UUGGCCACAACUGUAUUAUACUAGUACUUCAGGACUAUCAUUCCCUAUGAUAUUAUAUUAGUACUUCAGUACAAUCAGUCCCUAUUGUAUUAUACUAGUACUUCAGGACUAUCAGUCCCUAUGAUAUUAUACUAGUACUUCAGUACUAUCAGUCCCUAUGAUAUACUAGUACUUCAGUACUAUCAGUCCCUAUGAUAUUAUACUAGUACGGAAGUACUAUCAGUCCCUAUUGUAUUAUACUAGUACUUCAGUACUAUCAGGGUGGUACUGAGAGUGCACUGUGUGUGAAGGUGCUCACUCUUGUGUGAAGGAGGUUUUUGUACGGAGACUUCACCAGAAUUAAUCACUGUGGUACACUUUUGGAAGUGGCACAAAACUGGUGUUGAAAACUGGUCCCUCUGUCAGGCCCACAGUGUCUCUGCUCCCCCCGUCCUCUGAGCAGCUCUCCGGGGGCUCGGCCACACUGGCCUGCCUGCUGAGUGGCUACUCCCCCCAGGGGGCGAUGGUGAGCUGGGAGGUGGACGGGGCGGAAGUGAAGGAGGGGGUCCUGACCACCACAGAAGAAGAGAAGGGUGGCCGCUACAGUCGCAGCAGCACCCUGACCCUGAGCAAGGCACGCUGGGAAGAGGGAGAGGUCUACACCUGCAGGGUCGCCCACGACGACACCAGUGAUUCGGCCGCCUUCCGGAAAAGUCACUGUAGUGUCUAGAAGCCAUUGUAGGGGGCUAGAGAGUCCCCACAUGGUGCAAGUGAAAGAAACAUUAGUGUUUAAGAGCUGAAUGUUACAGUAGAAUAGUGAAUAAUAUCAGUAGUGCUGUGUGCUAAAUGAACUAUUUUGAGAUUUAGUUGUACAUGUCUUCUUGCCUUUGAGUUCAAAUAAAGCUUGUUUUGAUUAAAAAA
Salmo salar (Atlantic salmon) is the source of this 900-nucleotide long non-coding RNA. RefSeq lists it as uncharacterized. The record is from RefSeq and is a predicted model, not a curated record. Lineage: Eukaryota; Metazoa; Chordata; Actinopteri; Salmoniformes; Salmonidae.